RNAcentral lists this non-coding RNA (148 nucleotides) under Homo sapiens (human). The record is from Rfam by way of RNAcentral. Lineage: Eukaryota; Metazoa; Chordata; Mammalia; Primates; Hominidae.
GCUGGGUAUGGUGGCGUGUGCCUGUGGUCCCAGUUACUUCAGAGGCUGAGGCAGGAGGAUCGCUUGAGCCCAGGAGGUAGAGGUUGCAGUGAGCUGAAAUUGUGCCACUGCACUCUAGCCUGGGCAAUAGAGCCAGACCCUGUCUCAA